CAUAAUAUCUGUCCGACUGACGUGGUAUUCUAUCGGAUCUUUUUAAUGGUGCCUCUACUAGUUUCAGAUUCGAUUCACCAAUCGAAUCCAGUUUUGUAUGUGUUAGUCCUUCCACCUCAUGAGCUUCAUCAGGCAUUAGCUCCUUCACCAAGAAAGGUCUUUUCCAAAAAGACUGUCCGGCUACUAACAAAUAUCUUUUGUUCUGUAGCG
This 210-nucleotide long non-coding RNA is filed under the name Elaeis guineensis (African oil palm). RNAcentral's name for it is "long non-coding RNA (EGUI_LNC044171)". The record is from RNAcentral. Lineage: Eukaryota; Viridiplantae; Streptophyta; Magnoliopsida; Arecales; Arecaceae.